This 136-nucleotide long non-coding RNA is filed under the name Chloebia gouldiae (Gouldian finch). RNAcentral describes it as "Erythrura gouldiae (Gouldian finch) lncRNA (ENSEGOG00005014197.1)". Lineage: Eukaryota; Metazoa; Chordata; Aves; Passeriformes; Passeridae. The record is from RNAcentral.
GCAAAGGAGCACUGUGAGGAUUUUGCCCACAGGAUCAACAGUUGGGAUUACAGCUCUUGAAGCAAAGUGUGUGAGUGGUAACAUCACGGAAUGACAACUGCCACAGAACAAGGAGAUCCCAUGUGAAGUCACACAG